UACGUAGGGCGCAAGCGUUGUCCGGAAUUAUUGGGCGUAAAGAGCUCGUAGGCGGCCUGGUGCGUCCGCUGUGAAAUCCCGGGGCUCAACCCCGGGCCUGCAGUGGAUACGGGCUGGCUAGAGGCAGGCAGGGGAGAACGGAAUUCCUGGUGGAGCGGUGAAAUGCGCAGAUAUCAGGAGGAACACCGGUGGCGAAGGCGGUCUGCUGGGCCAAGACUGACGCUGAGGCGCGACAGCGUGGGGAGCAAACAGG
Molecule: ribosomal RNA, 253 nt
Filed under: uncultured bacterium
Lineage: Bacteria
Description: partial 16S ribosomal RNA
Rfam family: Bacterial small subunit ribosomal RNA
Source: RNAcentral